GAUAAGUAUAUUACUUUAAUGAAGAAAAAGAAUUAAUGUAAAUUAAUCAAAACGUGUUAUUAUCGUUACUGUUACGAGUAUUAUAUAUUAAUAAAUAUUUAGCACGGUAAUAGUCUGUUACAGGCAAGCAUUUAUAAUUUUAGGUGAAAACUAUGUUAUCUAUUUCAUUAUAUCUUACUCUGUUACAGAUGUACCUUGAAUAAAGCUAAUCGAAUAAUAUUGUUUCAAAAUUAACAUUUUUCAUUUGCUACAUAACAUUACAAAGAGUCGUACUUAUCCUGUUGCAGAUGAAAAACCUGUAUAUAAAUAAUAAUAUAGUUUUAUAAGGAAUAGUAAUGAUGAUCAUAAACAAAGGAAUGUAUAUGAGAGAUAAAUCGAAAGAAAGACAGCAUGGAUUACAAAAUUAUAUUUGAGCAAAAAUUUGCUUUUCAACAUGAAUUACGAAAAAAAGAUAAGUAUAUUAUUUUAAUUAAGAAAAUGAAUUAAUGUAAUUUAAUCAAAACGUGUUAUUAUAAUUACCGUUACAAGUAUUAUAUAUGUUUUUUAUAUGUUUUUACUAAUAAUGCAGGAAGGAGAAGAAAAACUCUGUUACAGUUUAUUUAUCAUUUUUUGAGUAUAAUUUAAUACAUAUUUAGUACGGUAAUAGUCUGUUACAGGCAAGCAUUUAUAACUUUAGGUGAAAACAAUGUUAUCUAUUUCAUUAUAUCUUACUGUGUUACAGAUGUACCUUGAACAAAACUAAUUGAAUAACACUUUAAAUAAAUAAAAGUGGAAAAAGCUUAGAUGAAUUUGAUGGAAAUUGAAGGCUACGAAAAAAAUACAUAAAAAUAUAUUAAGAAAACACUUAAGUAAAAUGGAGAUAAAUUGAAAGAGAGACAUAAGGAAUUACAAUAAUAUACUUAGGUAACAAAUUGUAUUUAAACGUUUACCACCACUUAAAGAUGUACGUUGAAAAAAACUAAUUGAAUAACACUUUAAAUGAAUAAAAGUGGAAAAAGCUUAGAUGACUUUGAUGGAAAUAAAAAGCUAGGAUACAAAUACAUAAAAAUAUAUUAAGAAAACAGGUAAGUAAAAUGGAGAUAAAUCGAUAGAGAGACAUUAGGAAUCACAAUAAUAUACUCCAUUAACAAAUUGCAUUUGAACAUUUACCAACACAUAAAGAUGAAAUACCUGAACAUUAAGAGUACUAUAGUCUUAUAGCGAAUGGUAAUGAUGAUCACAUACAAAGAUAUGUAUAUAACAGAUAAAUCGAAAGAAA
RNAcentral lists this long non-coding RNA (1258 nucleotides) under Homalodisca vitripennis (glassy-winged sharpshooter). RNAcentral describes it as "uncharacterized LOC124364549". Lineage: Eukaryota; Metazoa; Arthropoda; Insecta; Hemiptera; Cicadellidae. The record is from RNAcentral.